This 492-nucleotide ribosomal RNA is filed under the name uncultured bacterium. RNAcentral's name for it is "bacterial SSU rRNA". It matches the Rfam family "Bacterial small subunit ribosomal RNA", at positions 25 to 518 of the family's 1533-position model. The record is from RNAcentral.
CAGGAUGAACGCUGGCGGCGUGCCUAACACAUGCAAGUCGAACGGAGAUCUAUUGAUGGAGGCUUCGGCCAAAGAAGUUGAUCUUAGUGGCGGACGGGUGAGUAACGCGUGGAGAACCUGCCCUGUACAGGGGGAUAACAGGCAGAAAUGCCUGCUAAUACCGCAUAAGCGCACGGGAGCGCAUGCUCCAGUGUGAAAAACUCCGGUGGUACAGGAUGGCUCCGCGUUGGAUUAGCUGGUUGGCGGGGCAACGGCCCACCAAGGCGACGAUCCAUAGCCGGCCUGAGAGGGUGGACGGCCACAUUGGGACUGAGACACGGCCCAGACUCCUACGGGAGGCAGCAGUGGGGAAUAUUGCACAAUGGGGGGAACCCUGAUGCAAGCGACGCCGCGUGAAGGAAGAAGUAUCUCGGUAUGUAAACUUCUAUCAGCAGGGAAGAGAUUGACGGUACCUGCACAAGAAGCCCCGGCUAACUACGUGCCAGCCGCAGC